This 438-nucleotide ribosomal RNA is filed under the name uncultured bacterium. Its description in RNAcentral is "bacterial SSU rRNA". It matches the Rfam family "Bacterial small subunit ribosomal RNA", at positions 355 to 786 of the family's 1533-position model. The record is from RNAcentral.
UAGGGAAUUUUCGUCAAUGGGGAGACCCUGAACGAGCAAUGCCGCGUGUGUGAAGAAGGUCUUCGGAUCGUAAAGCACUGUUGUAAGUGAAGAAUGCCAUAUAGAGGAAAUGCUAUGUGGGUGACGGUAGCUUACCAGAAAGCCACGGCUAACUACGUGCCAGCAGCCGCGGUAAUACGUAGGUGGCAAGCGUUAUCCGGAAUCAUUGGGCGUAAAGGGUGCGUAGGUGGCACGAUAAGUCUGAAGUAAAAGGCAACAGCUCAACUGUUGUAUGCUUUGGAAACUGUCGAGCUAGAGUGCAGAAGAGGGCGAUGGAAUUCCAUGUGUAGCGGUAAAAUGCGUAGAUAUUAGGAGGAACACCAGUGGCGAAGGCGGCUUACUGGACGGUAACUGACGUUGAGGCUCGAAAGCGUGGGGGAGCAAACAGGAUUAGAUACC